GACGAACGCUGGCGGCGUGCUUAAAAACAUGCAAGUCGAACGGACUUCUCAUGAAGCUUGCGAUUGAGAAGUUAGUGGCGGACGGGUGAGUAACGCGUGGGCAACCUGCCCCUGAGCCCGGGAUAACAGUUCGAAAGGACUGCUAAGACCGGAUAUACUUGCGGUGAAGCAUUUCACUGCAAGGAAAGGGAACGCUCAGGGGAUGGGCCCGCGUCCCAUUAGCUAGUUGGUGAGGUAACGGCCCACCAAGGCGACGAUGGGUAGCCGGCCUGAGAGGGUGAACGGCCACACUGGGACUGAGACACGGCCCAGACUCCUACGGGAGGCAGCAGUUGGGAAUCUUCGGCAAUGGGCGCAAGCCUGACCGAGCAACGCCGCGUGAGUGAUGAAGGUUUUCGGAUUGUAAAGCUCUGUCUUCCGGGACGAUAAUGACGGUACCGGAGGAGGAAGCCACGGCUAACUACGUGCCAGCAGCCGCGGUAAGCACGAGAGUA
RNAcentral lists this ribosomal RNA (494 nucleotides) under uncultured bacterium. RNAcentral describes it as "bacterial SSU rRNA". It matches the Rfam family "Bacterial small subunit ribosomal RNA", at positions 28 to 533 of the family's 1533-position model. The record is from RNAcentral.